AAAAUAUCACCGAGUCUGUGGGGAAUUUUAGGUCAACACCAUAAAUAUGGGAGACAACCCUACAGGGAAACAAACUGCUCAGGAACCAAGAGGAAACUCUGACUGGGGAGCAAGUCAGCUGGCGAUUGGCGGGGAAACCAAUGCGAUCUACUGAGGAGAUCCACCACUUCUGCUAAAGGAAAAAAAAAGUCCACCGGGGAAGGAAAAAAC
This 210-nucleotide long non-coding RNA is filed under the name Lathyrus oleraceus (garden pea). Its description in RNAcentral is "Pisum sativum (pea) long non-coding RNA (PSAT_LNC015428)". The record is from RNAcentral. Lineage: Eukaryota; Viridiplantae; Streptophyta; Magnoliopsida; Fabales; Fabaceae.